AUUGAACGCUGGCGGCAUGCCUUACACAUGCAAGUCGAACGGCAGCACGGGAGCAAUCCUGGUGGCGAGUGGCGAACGGGUGAGUAAUAUAUCGGAACGUGCCCAGUCGUGGGGGAUGACGCAGCGAAAGCUGUGCUAAUACCGCAUACGAUCUACGGAUGAAAGCGGGGGAGCGCAAGACCUCGCGCGAUUGGAGCGGCCGAUAUCAGAUUAGCUAGUUGGUGGGGUAAAGGCCUACCAAGGCGACGAUCUGUAGCUGGUCUGAGAGGACGACCAGCCACACUGGAACUGAGACACGGUCCAGACUCCUACGGGAGGCAGCAGUGGGGAAUUUUGGACAAUGGACGCAAGCCUGAUCCAGCAAUGCCGCGUGCAGGAUGAAGGCCUUCGGGUUGUAAACUGCUUUUGUACGGAACGAAACGGUGAGCUCUAAUACAGUUUGCUAAUGACGGUACCGUAAGAAUAAGCACCGGCUAACUACGUGCCAGCAGCCGCCGUAA
This 500-nucleotide ribosomal RNA is filed under the name uncultured bacterium. Its description in RNAcentral is "partial 16S ribosomal RNA". It matches the Rfam family "Bacterial small subunit ribosomal RNA", at positions 30 to 523 of the family's 1533-position model. The record is from RNAcentral.